This 492-nucleotide ribosomal RNA is filed under the name uncultured bacterium. RNAcentral describes it as "partial 16S ribosomal RNA". It matches the Rfam family "Bacterial small subunit ribosomal RNA", at positions 29 to 507 of the family's 1533-position model. The record is from RNAcentral.
AGUGAACGCUGGCGGUAGGCCUAACACAUGCAAGUCGAACGGCAGCACAGUAAGAGCUUGCUCUUACGGGUGGCGAGUGGCGGACGGGUGAGGAAUACAUCGGAAUCUACUUUUUCGUGGGGGAUAACGUAGGGAAACUUACGCUAAUACCGCAUACGACCUACGGGUGAAAGCAGGGGAUCUUCGGACCUUGCGCGAUUGAAUGAGCCGAUGUCGGAUUAGCUAGUUGGCGGGGUAAAGGCCCACCAAGGCGACGAUCCGUAGCUGGUCUGAGAGGAUGAUCGGCCACACUGGAACUGAGACACGGUCCAGACUCCUACGGGAGGCAGCAGUGGGGAAUAUUGGACAAUGGGCGCAAGCCUGAUCCAGCCAUACCGCGUGGGUGAAGAAGGCCUUCGGGUUGUAAAGCCCUUUUGUUGGGAAAGAAAAGCAGCAGGUUAAUACCCCGCUGUUCUGACGGUACCCAAAGAAUAAGCACCGACUAACUUCGUG